UGUGACACUUGGAAGCCUAGUGAA
Molecule: non-coding RNA, 24 nt
Filed under: Arabidopsis thaliana (thale cress)
Lineage: Eukaryota; Viridiplantae; Streptophyta; Magnoliopsida; Brassicales; Brassicaceae
Source: RNAcentral